GAUGACAUUACAGAGAGAAAAGAUUUUAACGUUAGAGGGCCAUGAUUUACGAGUCGGAUGGCACGCAUACCUCUGUUAUGAUAAAACAAAAUCUGAAAAGAACUUUGGAAAUCAUUUUAUUAGAUCAGCGAUUAUGAAGGUUUGGAACAAAUAUAAAGCAAGAUUGUACCCCAAAAACCCCCUCUGGCUUUCGCCGCUAGAAGCGGGACAAAGAAGAUUACUAGGCUGGGAGAAAUGGCCCACAUAUAAAGAUAUAUUAAAACAAAAGGAUGGAAAAUUAGAAAUGAAAUCCCAAGAAGAAAUUAAGGAAAACUUUAAGAACAUAUCAUGGUUCCAAUAUAGACAAUUAAGAGAGUAUUUUAAUAAGGACAAGAAGGAAGGCUUCAUGGACAAAGAAAUAUUUUGGGAUAGAAUCAUGAAUUCGGGAAAAAAAUUGAUAACAAAGAUCUAUAAAAAAAUCCUCGAAUGGCAAACUGAGAAAGAAUUUGUGAAAGAGUGUAUGACAAAAUGGGCAAUAAACUUUAAGAAAACAAUUUGUAUGGAUCAAUGGGAAAACCUGUGGAAUAAGACAUUUAAACAAAUGUACUCAUACGAUCUAAAAGAAAAUUGGAUAAAAAUGUUCCACAGGUGGUAUAUUACGCCCAAAAAAUUAGGACUAAUUAACAAAUCUCUACAGACCACCUGUUGGAAAUGUAAAAAAGAACAGGGAUCAUUCUUCCACAUGUGGUGGACUUGUGGAAAAGCGAGGAAAUUUUGGAAAGAAAUACAUGAAUUAUCACAAAAAAAUAUUAAAUAUCAAGUACCAGAUGAGACCAGAACACCUACUUCUAGGAAUUACAGAAGAAAACUGGAAAGAAAAUGAUGAACUUUUAUUAAACUAUAUGACAACGGCAGCAAGAAUUGUUUAUGCAAGGAAUUGGAGAACAGAAAUAGUACCCGACAAGAAUGAGUGGUUGAUAAAACUAAUGGAAAUUAAAAACAUGGACAAACUGUCAUAUCUCUUAGCUAAACAACAGGGAGUACCAAAGAAAAAAAACGGACUGGAACCCAUUACUGCAUUAUUUGACUAAAGAAAAAUAAAUAAAAAUAAUGUAAUUAUAUAAGGG
Molecule: long non-coding RNA, 1106 nt
Filed under: Anolis carolinensis (green anole)
Lineage: Eukaryota; Metazoa; Chordata; Lepidosauria; Squamata; Anolidae
Description: lncRNA (ENSACAG00000034907.1)
Source: RNAcentral